This 1978-nucleotide ribosomal RNA is filed under the name Escherichia coli. Its description in RNAcentral is "bacterial LSU rRNA". It matches the Rfam family "Bacterial large subunit ribosomal RNA", at positions 1 to 1995 of the family's 2925-position model. Lineage: Bacteria; Pseudomonadati; Pseudomonadota; Gammaproteobacteria; Enterobacterales; Enterobacteriaceae. The record is from RNAcentral.
GGGUUGUGAGGUUAAGCGACUAAGCGUACACGGUGGAUGCCCUGGCAGUCAGAGGCGAUGAAGGACGUGCUAAUCUGCGAUAAGCGUCGGUGAGGUGAUAUGAACCGUUAUAACCGGCGAUUUCCGAAUGGGGAAACCCAGUGUGUUUCGACACACUAUCAUUAACUGAAUCCAUAGGUUAAUGAGGCGAACCGGGGGAACUGAAACAUCUAAGUACCCCGAGGAAAAGAAAUCAACCGAGAUUCCCCCAGUAGCGGCGAGCGAACGGGGAGGAGCCCAGAGCCUGAAUCAGUGUGUGUGUUAGUGGAAGCGUCUGGAAAGGCGCGCGAUACAGGGUGACAGCCCCGUACACAAAAAUGCACAUAUUGUGAGCUCGAUGAGUAGGGCGGGACACGUGGUAUCCUGUCUGAAUAUGGGGGGACCAUCCUCCAAGGCUAAAUACUCCUGACUGACCGAUAGUGAACCAGUACCGUGAGGGAAAGGCGAAAAGAACCCCGGCGAGGGGAGUGAAAAAGAACCUGAAACCGUGUACGUACAAGCAGUGGGAGCCUCUUAAUGGGGUGACUGCGUACCUUUUGUAUAAUGGGUCAGCGACUUAUAUUCUGUAGCAAGGUUAACCGAAUAGGGGAGCCGAAGGGAAACCGAGUCUUAACUGGGCGUUAAGUUGCAGGGUAUAGACCCGAAACCCGGUGAUCUAGCCAUGGGCAGGUUGAAGGUUGGGUAACACUAACUGGAGGACCGAACCGACUAAUGUUGAAAAAUUAGCGGAUGACUUGUGGCUGGGGGUGAAAGGCCAAUCAAACCGGGAGAUAGCUGGUUCUCCCCGAAAGCUAUUUAGGUAGCGCCUCGUGAAUUCAUCUCCGGGGGUAGAGCACUGUUUCGGCAAGGGGGUCAUCCCGACUUACCAACCCGAUGCAAACUGCGAAUACCGGAGAAUGUUAUCACGGGAGACACACGGCGGGUGCUAACGUCCGUCGUGAAGAGGGAAACAACCCAGACCGCCAGCUAAGGUCCCAAAGUCAUGGUUAAGUGGGAAACGAUGUGGGAAGGCCCAGACAGCCAGGAUGUUGGCUUAGAAGCAGCCAUCAUUUAAAGAAAGCGUAAUAGCUCACUGGUCGAGUCGGCCUGCGCGGAAGAUGUAACGGGGCUAAACCAUGCACCGAAGCUGCGGCAGCGACACUAUGUGUUGUUGGGUAGGGGAGCGUUCUGUAAGCCUGUGAAGGUGUACUGUGAGGUAUGCUGGAGGUAUCAGAAGUGCGAAUGCUGACAUAAGUAACGAUAAAGCGGGUGAAAAGCCCGCUCGCCGGAAGACCAAGGGUUCCUGUCCAACGUUAAUCGGGGCAGGGUGAGUCGACCCCUAAGGCGAGGCCGAAAGGCGUAGUCGAUGGGAAACAGGUUAAUAUUCCUGUACUUGGUGUUACUGCGAAGGGGGGACGGAGAAGGCUAUGUUGGCCGGGCGACGGUUGUCCCGGUUUAAGCGUGUAGGCUGGUUUUCCAGGCAAAUCCGGAAAAUCAAGGCUGAGGCGUGAUGACGAGGCACUACGGUGCUGAAGCGACAAAUGCCCUGCUUCCAGGAAAAGCCUCUAAGCAUCAGGUAACAUCAAAUCGUACCCCAAACCGACACAGGUGGUCAGGUAGAGAAUACCAAGGCGCUUGAGAGAACUCGGGUGAAGGAACUAGGCAAAAUGGUGCCGUAACUUCGGGAGAAGGCACGCUGAUAUGUAGGUGAAGCGACUUGCUCGUGGAGCUGAAAUCAGUCGAAGAUACCAGCUGGCUGCAACUGUUUAUUAAAAACACAGCACUGUGCAAACACGAAAGUGGACGUAUACGGUGUGACGCCUGCCCGGUGCCGGAAGGUUAAUUGAUGGGGUUAGCGGUAACGCGAAGCUCUUGAUCGAAGCCCCGGUAAACGGCGGCCGUAACUAUAACGGUCCUAAGGUAGCGAAAUUCCUUGUCGGGUAAGUUCCGACCUGCACGA